UAACACAUGCAAGUCGAGCGGAGCACUUUUGCAGAUUUCUUCGGAUUGAAGCAAUUGUGACUGAGCGGCGGACGGGUGAGUAACGCGUGGGUAACCUGCCUCAUACAGGGGGAUAACAGUUGGAAACGGCUGCUAAUACCGCAUAAGCGCACAGUACCGCAUGGUACCGUGUGAAAAACUCCGGUGGUAUGAGAUGGACCCGCGUCUGAUUAGCUAGUUGGUGGGGUAACGGCCUACCAAGGCGACGAUCAGUAGCCGACCUGAGAGGGUGACCGGCCACAUUGGGACUGAGACACGGCCCAAACUCCUACGGGAGGCAGCAGUGGGGAAUAUUGCACAAUGGGGGAAACCCUGAUGCAGCGACGCCGCGUGAGCGAUGAAGUAUUUCGGUAUGUAAAGCUCUAUCAGCAGGGAAGAAAAUGACGGUACCUGACUAAGAAGCCCCGGCUAACUACGUGCCAGCAGCCGCGGUAAUACGUAGGGGGCAAGCGUUAUCCGGAUUUACUGGGUGUAAAGGGAGCGUAGACGGCAUGGCAAGCCAGAUGUGAAAGCCCGGGGCUCAACCCCGGGACUGCAUUUGGAACUGUCAGGCUAGAGUGUCGGAGAGGAAAGCGGAAUUCCUAGUGUAGCGGUGAAAUGCGUAGAUAUUAGGAGGAACACCAGUGGCGAAGGCGGCUUUCUGGACGAUGACU
This 692-nucleotide ribosomal RNA is filed under the name uncultured Lachnospiraceae bacterium. Its description in RNAcentral is "bacterial SSU rRNA". It matches the Rfam family "Bacterial small subunit ribosomal RNA", at positions 49 to 741 of the family's 1533-position model. Lineage: Bacteria; Bacillati; Bacillota; Clostridia; Lachnospirales; Lachnospiraceae. The record is from RNAcentral.